Molecule: ribosomal RNA, 440 nt
Filed under: uncultured bacterium
Lineage: Bacteria
Description: partial 16S ribosomal RNA
Rfam family: Bacterial small subunit ribosomal RNA
Source: RNAcentral
CCUACGGGAGGCAGCAGUAGGGAAUAUUGCUCAAUGGGGGAAACCCUGAAGCAGCAACGCCGCGUGGAGGAUGAAGGUUUUCGGAUUGUAAACUCCUUUUGUUAGAGAAGAUAAUGACGGUAUCUAACGAAUAAGCACCGGCUAACUCCGUGCCAGCAGCCGCGGUAAUACGGAGGGUGCACGCGUUACUCGGAAUGACUGGGCGUAAAGCGCGCGUAGGCGGGAUAGCAAGUCAGAUGUGAAAUCCUAUGGCUUAACCAUAGAACUGCAUUUGAAACUGUUAUUCUAGAGUAUGGGAGAGGUAGGUGGAAUUCUUGGUGUAGGGGUAAAAUCCGUAGAGAUCAAGAGGAAUACUCAUUGCGAAGGCGACCUGCUAGAACAUAACUGACGCUGAUGCGCGAAAGCGUGGGGAGCAAACAGGAUUAGAUACCCCAGUAGUC